UCCAUUCUUGGUGAAGAUCUUACAAAUCCCUCUUCAACAGUUUUCAUUCCUUGGCUAACUUUUGUAAUGCAUCAUCUUUCAUCAUUAAAUCAUACCUCAACUAGCUGACCUGAUCCAUCAUUGUCACAUUUUUCUCCAUUUUCUUCCUUUUAAUCUUAAACUCUCGUUAAGCAAUCUCAAGUGUUGUUAAUACAGGCUCUGAUAUGGGAAUGGACAGCUUAUUUGAAACAUCUACUAGCAAGGGCCUAAUUUCAUUAACUUUUUCCAUUCUCCAUGAAAGGUACUCUUCUGUGACAUUAUUUGCAUAUUUGGCUAGCUUCAUUCGAUUAAUUUACUUCUAUGUCUUAAUGAUUUCUUGAACCUCUUUCAUAUAAUUAGGUGCCUCAUAGUCAAACUCAAGCAAAUUUAGUCCAUAAGUCAUAAGGAUGAAUUAAUGGGAAUCAUAUUACCUUUGGACCAUAAGAGAUGCAUUGCUGAUUACCCCCAAUAUUCCUAGCACUAGUACCUAUGACUUGUCUUCACAAUUAUAUAGUAUGGCUAUAGGAAGCAUUUACAAUGCUCUCCAUGUUAUGGCCUCACUAGUGAGCUUCAGAAAUAAUGCCAUCAAUUGUCCUUUCUUCCAAUCCCUUUGCUAUUCAUUAGUGAUGAAUUCCUUAAUCGGAAUGAAGUGAAUAGAUAAAAGCUAAAAUGAUACCUUUUUUACCCCAAAAAUGAUUUCGAAUCCAAAUAUAGAGCAGCUGAAUGCAUCUUAUGAAUCAUCCGUCACUCUUUCUUCAACAAAAGUUUAGCGAUCUGAUGAUCUCUGCUAAG
Molecule: long non-coding RNA, 810 nt
Filed under: Durio zibethinus
Lineage: Eukaryota; Viridiplantae; Streptophyta; Magnoliopsida; Malvales; Malvaceae
Description: long non-coding RNA (DZIB_LNC002252)
Source: RNAcentral